GAUGAACGCUGGCGGCGUGCCUAAUACAUGCAAGUCGAGCGAACAGACGAGGAGCUUGCUCCUCUGACGUUAGCGGCGGACGGGUGAGUAACACGUGGAUAACCUACCUAUAAGACUGGGAUAACUUCGGGAAACCGGAGCUAAUACCGGAUAAUAUAUUGAACCGCAUGGUUCAAUAGUGAAAGACGGUUUUGCUGUCACUUAUAGAUGGAUCCGCGCCGCAUUAGCUAGUUGGUAAGGUAACGGCUUACCAAGGCAACGAUGCGUAGCCGACCUGAGAGGGUGGUCGGCCACACUAGAACUGAGACACGGUCCAGACUCCUACGGGAGGCAGCAGUAGGGAAUCUUCCGCAAUGGGCGAAAGCCUGACGGAGCAACGCCGCGUGAGUGAUGAAGGUCUUCGGAUCGUAAAACUCUGUUAUUAGGGAAGAACAAAUGUGUAAGUAACUAUGCACGUCGUGACGGUACCUAAUCAGAAAGCCACGGCUAACUACGUG
This 497-nucleotide ribosomal RNA is filed under the name uncultured bacterium. Its description in RNAcentral is "partial 16S ribosomal RNA". It matches the Rfam family "Bacterial small subunit ribosomal RNA", at positions 28 to 507 of the family's 1533-position model. The record is from RNAcentral.